This 301-nucleotide ribosomal RNA is filed under the name uncultured bacterium. RNAcentral describes it as "partial 16S ribosomal RNA". It matches the Rfam family "Bacterial small subunit ribosomal RNA", at positions 509 to 807 of the family's 1533-position model. The record is from RNAcentral.
CAGUCGCCGCGGUAAUACGAAGGGGGCUAGCGUUGCUCGGAAUCACUGGGCGUAAAGGGCGCGUAGGCGGCGUUUUAAGUCGGGGGUGAAAGCCUGUGGCUCAACCACAGAAUGGCCUUCGAUACUGGGACGCUUGAGUAUGGUAGAGGUUGGUGGAACUGCGAGUGUAGAGGUGAAAUUCGUAGAUAUUCGCAAGAACACCGGUGGCGAAGGCGGCCAACUGGACCAUUACUGACGCUGAGGCGCGAAAGCGUGGGGAGCAAACAGGAUUAGAUACCCCCGUAGUCCCUGUCUCUUAUAC